Molecule: transfer RNA, 72 nt
Filed under: Bos taurus (domestic cattle)
Lineage: Eukaryota; Metazoa; Chordata; Mammalia; Artiodactyla; Bovidae
Also listed under: 1 other name
Rfam family: tRNA
About the family: Transfer RNA (tRNA) molecules are approximately 80 nucleotides in length. Their secondary structure includes four short double-helical elements and three loops (D, anti-codon, and T loops).
Source: Rfam by way of RNAcentral
UCCCUGGUAACUCAGCUGGUAAAAAAUCUGCCUGCAAUGCAGGAGACCCAGGUUCGAUUCCUGGGUUGGGAA